RNAcentral lists this ribosomal RNA (253 nucleotides) under uncultured bacterium. RNAcentral's name for it is "partial 16S ribosomal RNA". It matches the Rfam family "Bacterial small subunit ribosomal RNA", at positions 524 to 776 of the family's 1533-position model. The record is from RNAcentral.
UACAGAGGUCCCGAGCGUUGUUCGGAUUCACUGGGCGUAAAGGGUGCGUAGGUGGCUUGGAAAGUUUGAUGUGAAAGCUCAGGGCUUAACCCUGAAAUGGCAUUGAAUACUGCUGAGCUGGAGGUUUGGAGGGGGGACUGGAAUUCUUGGUGUAGCAGUGAAAUGCGUAGAUAUCAAGAGGAACACCAGUGGCGAAGGCGAGUCCCUGGACAACACCUGACACUGAUGCGCGAAAGCUAGGGGAGCAAACCGG